Molecule: transfer RNA, 75 nt
Filed under: Caudoviricetes sp.
Lineage: Duplodnaviria; Heunggongvirae; Uroviricota; Caudoviricetes
Description: tRNA-Met
Rfam family: tRNA
About the family: Transfer RNA (tRNA) molecules are approximately 80 nucleotides in length. Their secondary structure includes four short double-helical elements and three loops (D, anti-codon, and T loops). Further hydrogen bonds mediate the characteristic L-shaped molecular structure. tRNAs have two regions of fundamental functional importance: the anti-codon, which is responsible for specific mRNA codon recognition, and the 3' end, to which the tRNAs corresponding amino acid is attached (by aminoacyl-tRNA synthetases). tRNAs cope with the degeneracy of the genetic code in two manners: having more than one tRNA (with a specific anti-codon) for a particular amino acid; and 'wobble' base-pairing, i.e. permitting non-standard base-pairing at the 3rd anti-codon position.
Source: RNAcentral
GGCAGGAUGGAGAAGUAGUAUCUCGCUUGGCUCAUAUCCAAGAGGUCGUAAGUGCAAAUCUUACUCCUGCUCCCA